Molecule: transfer RNA, 72 nt
Filed under: Ictidomys tridecemlineatus (thirteen-lined ground squirrel)
Lineage: Eukaryota; Metazoa; Chordata; Mammalia; Rodentia; Sciuridae
Description: Spermophilus tridecemlineatus (thirteen-lined ground squirrel) tRNA
Rfam family: tRNA
About the family: Transfer RNA (tRNA) molecules are approximately 80 nucleotides in length. Their secondary structure includes four short double-helical elements and three loops (D, anti-codon, and T loops). Further hydrogen bonds mediate the characteristic L-shaped molecular structure. tRNAs have two regions of fundamental functional importance: the anti-codon, which is responsible for specific mRNA codon recognition, and the 3' end, to which the tRNAs corresponding amino acid is attached (by aminoacyl-tRNA synthetases). tRNAs cope with the degeneracy of the genetic code in two manners: having more than one tRNA (with a specific anti-codon) for a particular amino acid; and 'wobble' base-pairing, i.e. permitting non-standard base-pairing at the 3rd anti-codon position.
Source: Rfam by way of RNAcentral
GGGGUUGUGGCUCGGUGGUAGAGCACUUGCCUAGCAGGUUUGAAGCCCUGGGUUCAGUUCUCAGCACUGCCU